AGCCCGGUCGGCGGGUGGAGCCUGAUCCGUGAGCUCGCGGCCAAUCGCGCGGCGCCGGGGGAGGAGCCCCGAAGGGGGAAAAAGAAAGUGCGGCGGAAAGUAAGAGGCUGGGAGGGGAGACAGCCUGGAUCCAGGACUCUGGGGCGCGCCUCGGCCAGGGGCACGGAGUGGAGCAGCUUCCGGCGACCGUCCGCCUGUCCCGCCGCCUGGCUGCGCCCGAUCGGCUUCCCCGGAAAGGAUGGGAAUUCUAUGGUGUGUCCUGAGUAUCUACUUCUUUGGGAUCCUGCAAAGUGAUGCCUCGGAACGCUGUGAUGACUGGGGACUGGAUACCAUGAGACAGAUCCAAGUAUUUGAAGAUGAACCCGCUCGAAUCAAGUGCCCACUCUUUGAACACUUCUUGAAGUUUAACUACAGCACAGCCCAUUCAGCUGGCCUCACUCUGAUCUGGUAUUGGACUAGGCAGGACCGAGACCUUGAAGAGCCAAUUAACUUCCGGCUCCCUGAAAACCGCAUUAGUAAGGAGAAGGAUGUGCUCUGGUUCCGGCCUACCCUCCUCAAUGACACAGGAAACUAUACCUGCAUGUUGAGAAAUACUACAUAUUGCAGCAAAGUUGCAUUCCCCCUGGAAGUUGUUCAAAAAGAUAGCUGUUUCAAAUCCCCUAUGAAACUCCCAGUGGAAAAAUUGUAUGUAGAAGAUGGUAUUCAGAAGAUCACUUGUCCAAAUAUUGAUGGGUAUUUUCCUUCCACUGUCAAACCAAAUGUCACUUGGUAUAUGGAUUGUAAUUUAAUAAAGGAUUUUCAUAAUGUACUGCCUGAUGGCAUGAACUUGAGCUUUUUCAUUCCCUUUACUUCAAAUAAUGGAAAUUACACGUGUGUUGUUACAUAUCCAGAACACGGACGCAUCUUUCAUCUCACCAGGAGUGUGACUGUAAAGGUGGUAGGCUCUCCAAAAGAUGCAUCGCCCCCCAAGAUUUAUUCCCCCAACGAUCAUGUGGUCUAUGAGAAAGAACCAGGAGAGGAGCUACUCAUCCCUUGUACAGUCUAUUUUAGUUUUCUCAUGGACUCUCACAAUGAGAUUUGGUGGACCAUUGAUGGAAAAAAGCCUGAUGACAUCACUGUUGACAUAACCAUUAGUGAAAGUACAAGUUAUUCUAAAACGGAAGAUGAAACAAGAACUCAGGUCUUAAGCAUCAAGAAAGUAACCCCUGAGGAUCUCAGGCGCAACUAUGUCUGUCAUGCUAGAAAUGGCAAAGGAGAGGUUGACAAAGCAGCCGUUGUGAAACAGAAAGCACCAAGAUACACAGUGGAAUUGGCAUGUGGUUUUGGAGCUACAGUCCUGCUGGUGGUAAUUCUUAUUGUUGUUUACCACGUUUACUGGCUGGAGAUGGUUCUCUUUUAUCGGGCUCAUUUUGGAACAGAUGAAACCAUUCUAGAUGGGAAGGAGUAUGAUAUUUAUGUGUCUUACGCAAGAAAUGCUGAAGAAGAAGAAUUCGUCUUACUGACCCUCCGUGGAGUUUUGGAGAAUGAAUUUGGAUACAAGCUGUGCAUCUUUGAUCGAGAUAGUCUGCCUGGGGGAAAUACAGUGGAAGCAGUUUUUGAUUUCAUUCAGAGGAGCCGGAGGAUGAUUGUGGUCCUGAGCCCAGACUACCUGACGGAGAAGAGCAUCAGCAUGCUGGAGUUCAAACUGGGCGUCAUGUGCCAGAACUCCAUUGCCACCAAACUCAUUGUGGUGGAGUACCGGCCCCUUGAGCGUCCACACCCAGGCAUCCUGCAGUUGAAGGAGUCGGUGUCUUUUGUGAGCUGGAAGGGAGAAAAGUCCAAACAUUCCAGCUCCAAAUUCUGGAAGGCCUUGCGCUUGGCUCUUCCCCUCAGAAGUCUGAGUGCCAGUUCUGGCUGGAAUGAAAGCUGCUCUUCUCAGUCUGACAUCAGUCUGGAUCACGUUCAGAGGAGGAGAAGUCGUUUGAAAGAGGCCCCAGAACUCCAGAGCUCAGAGAGGCCUUCGGGGGCUCCCGCAGCCACAGGCACAGUGUCCAAACAGCGAGGGAAGCCCUCGGCAGCCUGCCGCUGCUGUGUCACCUACUGUGAAGGGGAGAGCCACCUGAGGAGCAAGAGCCGCGCAGAGAUCCACAGCCAGCCCCAGUGGGAGACGCACCUCUGUAAGCCUGCUCCCCAAGAGCCAGAAACUCAGUGGAUGCAAAAUGGCACCAGCUUGGGACCCCCCCCUGUGCCCCAGAUCUCUGCUCUUGCUCUUCACCAUUUCACAGAUGUAUCUAAUAACAAUGACUUUUAUAUCCUAUAAUUACCGUGUGUGGUGGGUGGUUGCUGCCUAUCCCUGCCAACCCUCUUUCUGUCAUCAACCUUUGGGAAUAACGGACUUUUUUAUCAUCUCAUGGACUAUCGGGUCUGUGUCCCUUUGAUUGAUUUUUUAAAAAACUAUUUAUUUCUAGGAGUCAAAAGACCUGAAGAACCCGAAUUCAGAGUUAUUGCGUCUAUUGGCCUCAGAAGAGCACUCUCUUCUUGGGCCCUAGAAGGCUCUGAUUUUCUCCAGCCAAGGAGGACUACGAAUCGUCAUUUUAACAAGUUGUUUGCAGGCAAUAGAUCAAAAUAUGGGGCAUGUUUAGCCCUUGGAGUUGCCUCAACACAAGGAGACAGUUGAAUACGGUGGUUUGCAGUGUAUAUUUAUCAUCGAUAUUUGUAAUGUGGUUGGAUUGCUAUAGUUAUCAUAUGCAUUAAAUAGACUAAGAUAAGCUCUGUUGGGCUAACAGCUCCAGUAUUUAUUUCAGCAGUUCUAUAUAAGAAGCCUUAUAUCUUGUUUAUGACACAUGUCCAACAGAGGGAGUUAAUUUUUUUGUAGCUUUGCCAUCUGAAGUGUGUGGCUUGCUGUUGGUCAAUGCUUCAGCUUAGAUCAACAUCCAUUAUUUUCAUAGAAUUUAUUGACUCCAAGAUUCAAAUGUAGUCAUAGACAAAGUCAUAGAAAACAUAGAAAACAUAGAAAAACACUUUCUGUGUCCCCAGGAAGAGAAAAAUUGAGUUGAACUUGGCAAAUACAUAAAUAUGUAGUAUUGUCUUCUUCUAUAUAGAAGAUGAAAAUGAGAUAUCCCGAAGAGGGAAGACACUUUAAAAUGAGAUAGGACUCAUGCUUUGAUAAUGAAAGAAUAGAAAGACUUGGUUGCCAACACCCCAAAGAAUCAAGAUAAAACAGCACACAGAAAAGAGUAGAUAUUUUCCAUAAAUAUUCUCCAAAUGAAAGUUAUUGAACAAAUGCAUAAUAAUUCUGACAGCUUCUCAUGAAGAGAAAGCAUGCUUAAAAAUGUGAAAGUUACUCUAUUUGGUUACUUUCCUUUCUGUGGCUUUAGUUAGUUCUCUAAGAAUAUGACACUCAAAUUACCUACAAAUGAGCCAUUUCAUUUUGAAUAUUCAAGGAGCCUCAGAAGAAUUGAAGGUAUUUAGAACACAGCAGAGCAUGUAACAUGGUCAUUAAAAAACCACACAUGAUCCAUUUAUCUAAAGAGCUAAAUAGGGAAUUCAAAUUGAGCAGGCUAACAACUCAGAUAAAGAAACAAAUGCUAGCGGGGUAGUAUGAACACUAGUGUGAGUAGCAGUCUGUCUAUGAUUGGGAUUCUGUAUUAAAGAUCUGGAUUUUAUAUGACUUCUUUAUUAUGUAAACUAUCAUUUGAUUCUAAGAAAAAAAAUCUCUGGGCUGAUAAAGAUGAGUUCUAAUGAGUUAAUACAUAAGGUUGAACAAAGAAGUGCUAUUUCCUAGUGUAGUGUACGCCUUCAAAAUCCUUUUAAGAAUAAUUCGAAUCCUUAUUUUCCCUUGGAAAUUUCAAACAUUUAGAAAUAUUUAAAUGCAAAGAACAAUGCUGAAAUGUUCCUAUGGGAAGAAAGCAGGAAGGUUCCAAAUAAAUUCUAAAAUCAGAUCGUGAGUUAUUUUUAUUUUUUGCUAGAUAAUAGACAUUUUAAUACUCUCUUUGUUUUAUUUCUAAAAAUUAAGAUGAAAUGGGACAUGCAUUUCUAUUGUCAUAAGCUGUGUCAUGUGCUUUCAGUUAAUUUAUUAUUAACUGUACCCUGUUUGGAAACACCUUUUGAAAGUUGUUUUUAACCAGAAUUGAACGUCAUUCUUCAAAAAAAAAAAAUGUAAAUAGCUGGGAUCGAUCCCAGCCCAGUAAAUCUCCCUGAAUGAUUUAGAUGUGUGCUCUUGUAAGGAUAAUUGCCUUAAG
RNA transcript from Heterocephalus glaber (naked mole-rat), 4220 nucleotides. It is a transcript of the gene named interleukin 1 receptor accessory protein, with no coding region annotated. The record is from RefSeq and is a predicted model, not a curated record. Lineage: Eukaryota; Metazoa; Chordata; Mammalia; Rodentia; Bathyergidae.